This 348-nucleotide ribosomal RNA is filed under the name uncultured bacterium. RNAcentral's name for it is "bacterial SSU rRNA". It matches the Rfam family "Bacterial small subunit ribosomal RNA", at positions 29 to 402 of the family's 1533-position model. The record is from RNAcentral.
AACGAACGCUGGCGGCAGGCCUAACACAUGCAAGUCGAACGCUCGUAGCAAUACGAGAGUGGCAGACGGGUGAGUAACACGUGGGAACCUUCCCUAUGGUUCGGAAUAGCUCAGGGAAACUUGGGGUAAUACCGGAUAAGCCCUUCGGGGGAAAGAUUUAUCGCCAUUGGAUGGGCCCGCGUCGGAUUAGCUAGUUGGUGAGGUAACGGCUCACCAAGGCAACGAUCCGUAGCUGGUCUGAGAGGAUGAUCAGCCACACUGGGACUGAGACACGGCCCAGACUCCUACGGGAGGCAGCAGGUGGGAAUCUUGCGCAAUGGGCGAAAGCCUGACGCAGCGACGCCGCGU